This 2504-nucleotide unclassified non-coding RNA is filed under the name Haliotis rubra (blacklip abalone). RNAcentral describes it as "tetraspanin-8-like, transcript variant X1". Lineage: Eukaryota; Metazoa; Mollusca; Gastropoda; Lepetellida; Haliotidae. The record is from RNAcentral.
GGCACUGGACUGGCGCAUGCGCGGAGAGUAUACGACCACUGAUCACGACAUUACCUGAGAUUUCCUAGUUGAAGGGAUUACCAUGGCGGUGUCCGGAUGUGUGCGGCCAUGCUUCAUCGUAUUCAAUUUCUUGUUUUGGCUGAUGGGGUUGUUCCUCGUGGGUUUCAUUGCCUGGACAAUGGCCACCAACCCAACACUGGUUAGCGGCUUCAUUUCCGGCUCUCGGUACUUUACCUACUCUAUUUUGGGGGCAGGCAUUCUCAUCGUGUUGGCAGGUCUGUUUGGAUGCAUCGGCGGACUGAAAGAAGGGACAUGCCUCCUGAAGACGUUUUUUGUCUUCACCGUCAUCAUCUUCCUGAUUGAGAUAGCCGGUGUCGUGACGGCCUACAUGAUGAGGGAACAGUUACAAGUGUACCGGGAUUCCGGGUGGGCCGACUUCAACACAGACACCAAGAACUUCCUGCAGAAGGAGUUGAAGUGCUGCGGCUUCAACAGCGCGACAGAGUACGGCGCCACCGUGGCCGAUUACCCCGACAGCUGCUUCUCAGACCCUUCUACCAAAACCGUUGCCAAUCAACACAAUGCUGUAUGUUGGGCUAAGAUCAACGAAUGGCUGGACGGCAACUUGCCGAUAUGGGCGGGGACACUGGGCGCUGUGGUGCUUGUGCAGAUCGUGAGCCUGAUCCUGGCUGCAGUGAUUGUGUCAAAGGUCAAGAAAUCCCGCAAGGUGUCGACCACGCCUUCUUACAAAGGCCAAGCGUGGGACGCCCGUCACAACGGGGGUAGACAUGCUGGGCACAGGGGUGGUAGUCGCAGGUACUAGCAGCAAAAACCCGACAAAGAACACAUCAGUUGUCGAUAUAUAAUAUUUCCUGGAAAAAUAUAGUUAUCACGAUGGUAUAUUUUUGGAGUUGAUGUAAAUAUAUAUGCUCUACGAUACACAGAACAGUACACAAUAUUGACAUAGGAGUAACGUUGACUUUUAGUCGUUGAUUGACAUGACGAACCAGUCACAUCCGUCCAUAAUUUAUAAUUUUGAAGAUAUGGUUGGGAGAUGUUGGGAUGAAGGAAGGGCGUGGGUGUAGUUGGGGUUGUUGGUGUGGGGUUGGGGUGGGUGGGGUGGGGGUGGGGUGAGGCUGGGGUGGCGUGGUGCAGCAGAUAGACAAAGGGCUGACGUAUACCAGUUGUGCCUGAAACAGUUGUUGGGUGUUUUGUUGUAAGUUCAGUAAACACCUCUUACCGUGUAUGUAUAUGAUUUAUAUAUCCUCAGUUUAACAUUGGGCUUUGUUAGUUUAUACGUUCUUAGUUUAUGUUUUCGUUCGUUUUACUUGAAUCUGUUUUUUGUGUUAUAUUUUACACAGAAGAUUUUUAAUUAUUGUGCCAAAGCUUUUCGGCUGUCUAGCAACAAUUUACAUGUGUAUUUGUAUAAUCCCUCCAUAUAUAGUGAUACUUUAUUGAGGCAUAAAGGACCUUGUACUGAAGAAAGAUGGUUUCUUUACAACUGAUUUUCGGCCGUCUCAUAGUACUGACGCGUUGUAACCAAAUAUCCAUUACGAUAUAUCCGUCCCUUGGUGUAUAUAUUUUCGAUAUUUAUAUAUUUGUAUAUCUUUCGAUGAAGGGAGACCGUGGAGAAGAUGUCUUGAUAAUGAGGCUGUUUGUACGGGGUCAUGGCCGAGCAUGACUUGUAUGGGCGUGGCCUCGUCAGUUUUCUGCCUCCAUAUUCCAUCCCUAGUAACACGCGCAGUAUGGAUGAGGCAGCUCACUGGUGCCAGUGAUCACUCAACAAGCCAUAGCUGGGUUCGAUGCAAACAUUCUCACUUUGAUAUUAUCUUUCAUAUUUGUUCGUGUCUGCAUUCGAAGAGAAAACUUGCAUAAAUGUAAAAAAGCAUGAAAUCACCUAUGUUUCUUUAAAAAAUAACAAUAUUUUCUUUUUGUGAUGUAAUUCAUACGAUAAAGGUACAUCUGUCUGAGAUCAGCGUUUUCACAUGAAAUGAAUAUGUAAGACUAUUGAUGACAUUUUGUGGAAUAUGUUGUAACGGAAUUAACUUGCUCUACAAAUGUCGUGUUGUUGUUUGGUUUUGUAUAUUACAUUACACGUUAUUCAUUUUCGAAAUUUGUUUUCAAGAGAAAUAAUGUUUGUCGAGACAGCUGAACCAGUAACUACGCCACGGUUAUCUCCCUUGCACUGACUGCUGUUGGCUGGGUGUUAUUACCUCCCUUGUCCUGAACUCUGUUGAUUUGGAUGUUGUUGUUUUGUAAUGACAUUGUACUGAGACCGUAGUUUGAGCUGGCUGUACAAUCAUUCAUGUUUGUGAUAGUAAACCUUAUCUGUUAUUGUGUGUUAUAUUUAGAUGUUGUUUGUGUUUUGCAGAUUGUCAAUUGUAGCAAUAAAUGUAAUUCCAUUUGUAUUUGACUUAACUCAUUUUGAAAACCAUGUCAAAUGAGAAAUAUCAAAAACUCUUCCACAAUUUAAAUGGGUUUGAAUAAAUUAUUUUGUCACUGAA